CUUACCUGAUUCUUCGGAUGAAGGUCUGGUGCACUGAGUGGCGGACGGGUGAGUGACGCGUGGGUAACCUGCCCUGUACAGGGGGAUAACAGUUGGAAACGGCUGCUAAUACCGCAUAAGCGCACGAGAGGACAUCCUCUUGUGUGAAAAACUCCGGUGGUACAGGAUGGGCCCGCGUCUGAUUAGCUGGUUGGCAGGGUAACGGCCUACCAAGGCGACGAUCAGUAGCCGGUCUGAGAGGAUGAACGGCCACAUUGGAACUGAGACACGGUCCAAACUCCUACGGGAGGCAGCAGUGGGGAAUAUUGCACAAUGGGGGAAACACUGAUGCAGCAACGCCGCGUGAGUGAAGAAGUAUUUCGGUAUGUAAAGCUCUAUCAGCAGGGAAGAUAAUGACGGUACCUGACUAAGAAGCUCCGGCUAAAUACGUGCCAGCAGCCGCGGUAAUACGUAUGGAGCAAGCGUUAUCCGGAUUUACUGGGUGUAAAGGGUGCGUAGGUGGCAGUGCAAGUCAGAUGUGAAAGGUCGGGGCUCAACCCCGGAGCUGCAUUUGAAACUGCAUAGCUGGAGUACAGGAGAGGCAGGCGGAAUUCCUAGUGUAGCGGUGAAAUGCGUAGAUAUUAGGAGGAACACCAGUGGCGAAGGCGGC
RNAcentral lists this ribosomal RNA (649 nucleotides) under uncultured bacterium. RNAcentral's name for it is "bacterial SSU rRNA". It matches the Rfam family "Bacterial small subunit ribosomal RNA", at positions 63 to 725 of the family's 1533-position model. The record is from RNAcentral.